This 877-nucleotide ribosomal RNA is filed under the name uncultured bacterium. RNAcentral's name for it is "bacterial SSU rRNA". It matches the Rfam family "Bacterial small subunit ribosomal RNA", at positions 15 to 886 of the family's 1533-position model. The record is from RNAcentral.
GAUCCUGGCUCAUAUUGAACGCUGGCGGCAGGCUUAACACAUGCAAGUCGAGCGGGGAAGGGUAGCUUGCUACCUGACCUAGCGGCGGACGGGUGAGUAAUGCUUAGGAAUCUGCCUAUUAGUGGGGGACAACAUUCCGAAAGGAAUGCUAAUACCGCAUACGCCCUACGGGGGAAAGCAGGGGAUCUUCGGACCUUGCGCUAAUAGAUGAGCCUAAGUCAGAUUAGCUGGUUGGUGGGGUAAAGGCCUACCAAGGCGACGAUCUGUAGCGGGUCUGAGAGGAUGAUCCGCCACACUGGGACUGAGACACGGCCCAGACUCCUACGGGAGGCAGCAGUGGGGAAUAUUGGACAAUGGGCGAAAGCCUGAUCCAGCCAUGCCGCGUGUGUGAAGAAGGCCUUUUGGUUGUAAAGCACUUUAAGCGAGGAGGAGGCUACUUGGAUUAAUACUCUAGGAUAGUGGACGUUACUCGCAGAAUAAGCACCGGCUAACUCUGUGCCAGCAGCCGCGGUAAUACAGAGGGUGCGAGCGUUAAUCGGAUUUACUGGGCGUAAAGCGUGCGUAGGCGGCUUUUUAAGUCGGAUGUGAAAUCCCUGAGCUUAACUUAGGAAUUGCAUUCGAUACUGGGAAGCUAGAGUAUGGGAGAGGAUGGUAGAAUUCCAGGUGUAGCGGUGAAAUGCGUAGAGAUCUGGAGGAAUACCGAUGGCGAAGGCAGCCAUCUGGCCUAAUACUGACGCUGAGGUACGAAAGCAUGGGGAGCAAACAGGAUUAGAUACCCUGGUAGUCCAUGCCGUAAACGAUGUCUACUAGCCGUUGGGGCCUUUGAGGCUUUAGUGGCGCAGCUAACGCGAUAAGUCGGCCGCAUGGGUAUCCCGGU